AAGUCUAUAUUCAUUUUGUGUAUUUUCUUAGUGAACUUCUAAUUGAUGCUUGAGAUUGACUUUGGCCAAUUUGAUUAAAUAUAGCAAAUUUCUUUAUCUUGUGAAUAUUUGAUUGUAUAGAAACAUUCGUUAAAAAUGGAGUUUUCACUAUUUGAAUAAAAAAUCACAAUCGCAUCAUAUGCAACCAUUACACUUUUGACUGUAGCAUCCUGAAGCAGUCAAAUUGUGACCAUGAUUUAAAACCUCAAGUCUUGUUGAUGAAUAAAAUAGCUUAACGUGAAGGGGGUUAGCAUAGUUUAUCAAAUCCUACAAGAAUCUCGGAAACUUUUCAUUGAGCCAUGCUCAUAUAUAUAUAUAUAUAUUAAAAU
RNAcentral lists this unclassified non-coding RNA (368 nucleotides) under Hevea brasiliensis (rubber tree). Lineage: Eukaryota; Viridiplantae; Streptophyta; Magnoliopsida; Malpighiales; Euphorbiaceae. The record is from RNAcentral.